AAGAAAAAGUGUGAUUUUUCAAGGAAUCAAGUGUUUAAAGGUGGUGAGCUAUCUGAUACAGGUAAAAGACUACACCCGAGGACUGAGAAUAAGAGUAUAUCUACUCCUAGUACAGCUCAGAAUAGGCAGUAGACUGUCAAUUGCAUCGAGAAGUAAAUUUCAGAGUUGUAUCCUAGAAAGCAAGGUUAUAGACUUAAACAUUCUCAGUUAUUUGAGGGCCCACGUGUUAUUGUAAUUUAAAUUGCAUACUCCAGUUUUCUAUAUUACAGUAUGUAUAAAUUUAUUUUGUUUUUAU
Molecule: small RNA, 295 nt
Filed under: Theobroma cacao (cacao)
Lineage: Eukaryota; Viridiplantae; Streptophyta; Magnoliopsida; Malvales; Malvaceae
Description: sRNA Tc03v2_g007380
Source: RNAcentral